Dunckerocampus dactyliophorus (ringed pipefish) is the source of this 75-nucleotide small nucleolar RNA. RefSeq annotates it as small nucleolar RNA SNORD49. The record is from RefSeq and is a predicted model, not a curated record. The transcript has a single exon. Lineage: Eukaryota; Metazoa; Chordata; Actinopteri; Syngnathiformes; Syngnathidae.
UUCAAGGAUUAUAACUGCUACGUAGGAAGUGCCGUCUGAUGCGAUAACUGACGAUGGCAAAAGGCUGUUCUGAGA